GACGAACGCUGGCGGCGCGCUUAACACAUGCAAGUCGAACGGAAAGGCCUGCUUUCCCUUGUGGAUUGCGGGUACUCGAGUGGCGAACGGGUGAGUAACACGUGAGUGAUCUGCCCCCAACUUGGGUAUAAGCCUGGGAAACUGGGUCUAAUUCCCGAUAGGACUGCAGGGUGGUGCCUGUGGUGGAAAACGAUUUUCUAGUGGUUGGGGAUGAGCUCGCGGCCUAUCAGCUUGUUGGUGGGGUAAUGGCCUACCAAGGCGGCGACGGGUAGCCGGCCUGGGGGGGCGGGCGGAAACUUUGGGACGGGGACCCGGCCCGGACUCAGCGGGGGGGAAGCAGUGGGGAUUGUGGAAGAAGGGCGGAGAGCCUAAGGCAGCGACCCGGCGGGGGGAAGGCCGGCUUUGGGGUUGUAACCUCUUUUCGCCGGGGAGGAAGCCCCUGGUUUGGAAGGGUGGUGAGGGUGGUGGAAAAAGAGGCCCCGGCUAGCUACGUG
RNAcentral lists this ribosomal RNA (494 nucleotides) under uncultured bacterium. RNAcentral's name for it is "partial 16S ribosomal RNA". It matches the Rfam family "Bacterial small subunit ribosomal RNA", at positions 28 to 507 of the family's 1533-position model. The record is from RNAcentral.